CCUUUCGGGGAACCAGGAGACAGGUGCUGCAUGGCUGUCGUCAGCUCGUGUCGUGAGAUGUUUGGGUUAAGUCCCGCAACGAGCGCAACCCUUAUCUUUAAUUGCCAGCAUUCAGUUGGGCACUUUAAAGAGACUGCCGGUGUUAAACCGGAGGAAGGUGGGGAUGACGUCAAGUCCUCAUGGCCUUUAUGCUUAGGGCUACACACGUGCUACAAUGGCCGGCACAGCGGGAAGCGAGGGGGCGACCUUGAGCGGAUCCCUCAAAGCCGGUCUCAGUUCGGAUUGCAGUCUGCAACUCGACUGCAUGAAGUUGGAAUCGCUAGUAAUCGUGGAUCAGCCAAGCCGCGGUGAAUACGUUCCCGGGCCUU
Molecule: ribosomal RNA, 368 nt
Filed under: uncultured Desulfobulbaceae bacterium
Lineage: Bacteria; Pseudomonadati; Thermodesulfobacteriota; Desulfobulbia; Desulfobulbales; Desulfobulbaceae
Description: bacterial SSU rRNA
Rfam family: Bacterial small subunit ribosomal RNA
Source: RNAcentral